This 334-nucleotide ribosomal RNA is filed under the name uncultured eukaryote. RNAcentral's name for it is "partial 18S ribosomal RNA". It matches the Rfam family "Eukaryotic small subunit ribosomal RNA", at positions 1470 to 1796 of the family's 1831-position model. The record is from RNAcentral.
CCCUUAGAUGUCCGGGGCCGCACGCGCGCUACACUGAAGGAAUCAGCGUGGCUUUCUCCCUGACCCGAAAGGGUUGGGAAACCCGUUGAAUCUCCUUCGUGAUAGGGAUUGGGGCUUGAAAUUGUUCCCCAUGAACGAGGAAUUCCCAGUAAGCGCGAGUCAUAAGCUCGCGUUGAUUACGUCCCUGCCCUUUGUACACACCGCCCGUCGCUACUACCGAUUGAAUGGUUUAGUGAGAUCCUUGGAUCGGCCCUGUCGCGGCUGGCAACGGCCGCGUCGGCGCGUCGAGAAGACGAUCAAACUUGAUCAUUUAGAGGAAGUAAAAGUCGUAACA